ACGGGUGAGUAAUACAUCGGAACGUGCCCGAUCGUGGGGGAUAACGCAGCGAAAGCUGUGCUAAUACCGCAUACGAUCUACGGAUGAAAGCGGGGGAUCGCAAGACCUCGCGCGGACGGAGCGGCCGAUGGCAGAUUAGGUAGUUGGUGGGGUAAAGGCCCACCAAGCCGACGAUCUGUAGCUGGUCUGAGAGGACGACCAGCCACACUGGGACUGAGACACGGCCCAGACUCCUACGGGAGGCAGCAGUGGGGAAUUUUGGACAAUGGGCGCAAGCCUGAUCCAGCCAUGCCGCGUGCAGGAUGAAGGCCUUCGGGUUGUAAACUGCUUUUGUACGGAACGAAAAGACUCUUUCUAAUAAAGAGGGUCCAUGACGGUACCGUAAGAAUAAGCACCGGCUCACUACGUGCCAGCAGCCGCGGUAAUACGUAGGGUGCAAGCGUUAAUCGGAAUUACUGGGCGUAAAGCGUGCGCAGGCGGUAAUGUAAGACAGAUGUGAAAUCCCCGGGCUCAACCUGGGAACUGCAUUUGUGACUGCAUUGCUGGAGUGCGGCAGAGGGGGAUGGAAUUCCGCGUGUAGCAGUG
This 585-nucleotide ribosomal RNA is filed under the name uncultured bacterium. RNAcentral's name for it is "bacterial SSU rRNA". It matches the Rfam family "Bacterial small subunit ribosomal RNA", at positions 102 to 683 of the family's 1533-position model. The record is from RNAcentral.